This 265-nucleotide ribosomal RNA is filed under the name uncultured prokaryote. Its description in RNAcentral is "partial 16S ribosomal RNA". It matches the Rfam family "Bacterial small subunit ribosomal RNA", at positions 524 to 788 of the family's 1533-position model. The record is from RNAcentral.
UACGGAGGAUCCGAGCGUUAUCCGGAUUUAUUGGGUUUAAAGGGUGCGUAGGUGGAUUGGUAAGUCAGUGGUGAAAGUUUGCAGCUUAACCGUAAAAUUGCCGUUGAAACUGCCGGUCUUGAGUGCAAAUGAGGUAGGCGGAAUGCGUCGUGUAGCGGUGAAAUGCUUAGAUAUGACGCAGAACUCCGAUUGCGAAGGCAGCUUACUGGGAUGCAACUGACGCUGAGGCACGAAAGCGUGGGUAUCAAACAGGAUUAGAUACCCU